GGGGUUGUGGCUCAGCGGUAGAGCACUUGCCUAGCACGUGCAAGGCCCUGGGUUCAAUCCUCAGCACCA
Molecule: transfer RNA, 69 nt
Filed under: Urocitellus parryii (Arctic ground squirrel)
Lineage: Eukaryota; Metazoa; Chordata; Mammalia; Rodentia; Sciuridae
Also listed under: 1 other name
Description: Spermophilus parryii (Arctic ground squirrel) tRNA
Rfam family: tRNA
About the family: Transfer RNA (tRNA) molecules are approximately 80 nucleotides in length. Their secondary structure includes four short double-helical elements and three loops (D, anti-codon, and T loops). Further hydrogen bonds mediate the characteristic L-shaped molecular structure. tRNAs have two regions of fundamental functional importance: the anti-codon, which is responsible for specific mRNA codon recognition, and the 3' end, to which the tRNAs corresponding amino acid is attached (by aminoacyl-tRNA synthetases). tRNAs cope with the degeneracy of the genetic code in two manners: having more than one tRNA (with a specific anti-codon) for a particular amino acid; and 'wobble' base-pairing, i.e. permitting non-standard base-pairing at the 3rd anti-codon position.
Source: Rfam by way of RNAcentral